GACGAACGCUGGCGGCGUGCUUAACACAUGCAAGUCGAACGGAAAGGCCCUGCUUUUGUGGGGUGCUCGAGUGGCGAACGGGUGAGUAACACGUGAGUAACCUGCCCUUGACUUUGGGAUAACUUCAGGAAACUGGGGCUAAUACCGGAUAGGAGCUCCUGCUGCAUGGUGGGGGUUGGAACGUUUCGGCGGGUGGGGAUGGACUCGCGGCUUACCAGCUUGUUGGUGGGGUAGUGGCUUACCCAGGCUUUGACCGGUAGCCGGCCUGAGAGGGUGACCGGCGACAUGGGGACUGAGAUACGGCCCAGACUCCUACGGGAGGCAGCAGUGGGGAAUAUUGCACAAUGGGCGGAAGCCUGAUGCAGCAACGCCGCGUGCGUGAAGACGGCCUUCGGGUUGUAAACCGCUUUCGCCUGUGACGAAGCGGGAGUGACGGUAAUGGGUAAAGAAGCACCGGCUAACUACGUG
This 468-nucleotide ribosomal RNA is filed under the name uncultured bacterium. Its description in RNAcentral is "partial 16S ribosomal RNA". It matches the Rfam family "Bacterial small subunit ribosomal RNA", at positions 28 to 507 of the family's 1533-position model. The record is from RNAcentral.